Molecule: ribosomal RNA, 319 nt
Filed under: uncultured eukaryote
Lineage: Eukaryota
Description: partial 18S ribosomal RNA
Rfam family: Eukaryotic small subunit ribosomal RNA
Source: RNAcentral
CCCUUAGAUGUUCUGGGCAGCACGCGCGCUACAAUGGUCUUCGCAAACGGAUGCAUUCUCGAAGGAGAAUGCCAAUCUUGGAAUCUAUGCCUUGGUCGGGACAGUUGCUUGCAAUUUUUCGACUCGAACCAGGAAUUCCUUGUAAUCGUGAUUCAUCACAUCACGAUGAAUACGUCCCUGCCCUUUGUGCACACCGCCCGUCGCUCCUACCGAUCGAAGAGUUAGGUGAAUUGUUUUGAUCGAUAAGGUUUGACUAUGGUCAACUCUCGUUGUGAAAUUCUGUGAAUCUGACUGUUUAGAGGAAGGAAAAGUCGUAACA